This 610-nucleotide ribosomal RNA is filed under the name uncultured bacterium. RNAcentral's name for it is "bacterial SSU rRNA". The stretch from base 1 to 518 matches the Rfam family "Bacterial small subunit ribosomal RNA", at positions 338 to 873 of the family's 1533-position model. The record is from RNAcentral.
CCUACGGGAGGCAGCAGUGGGGAAUAUUGGACAAUGGGCGAAAGCCUGAUCCAGCAAUGCCGCGUGAGUGAUGAAGGCCUUAGGGUUGUAAAGCUCUUUUACCAGGGAUGAUAAUGACAGUACCUGGAGAAUAAGCUCCGGCUAACUCCGUGCCAGCAGCCGCGGUAAUACGGAGGGAGCUAGCGUUGUUCGGAAUUACUGGGCGUAAAGCGUACGUAGGCGGUUAUUCAAGUCAGAGGUGAAAGCCUGGAGCUCAACUCCAGAACUGCCUUUGAAACUAGAUAGCUAGAAUCUUGGAGAGGUGAGUGGAAUUCCGAGUGUAGAGGUGAAAUUCGUAGAUAUUCGGAAGAACGCCAGUGGCGAAGGCGACUCACUGGACAAGUAUUGACGCUGAGGUACGAAAGCGUGGGGAGCAAACAGGAUUAGACACCCUGGUAGUCCACGCCGUAAACGAUGAUAACUAGCUGUUCGGGCUCUACGAGCUUGAGUGGCGCNGCUACGCAUUAAGUUAGUCCGUCCGUCGGGAGGUACGGUCGCGAGAAGUUAAACUAACUAAUUAGAAGUUAGUUACGGCGUGAGACGUUGCGACGGACGACGACGAGGGAGGAGG